UUACGAACCACUUGGGGGUCUUGUUAAAAUGCAGAUUCUGUUCCAGCAGGUCUGAGGGAUCUGAGAUUUUGCAUUUCUGGCCAGUACCCAGGGAUAUUAAU
This 101-nucleotide microRNA precursor is filed under the name Marmota monax (woodchuck). Lineage: Eukaryota; Metazoa; Chordata; Mammalia; Rodentia; Sciuridae. The record is from RNAcentral.